Molecule: long non-coding RNA, 1255 nt
Organism: Austrofundulus limnaeus
Lineage: Eukaryota; Metazoa; Chordata; Actinopteri; Cyprinodontiformes; Rivulidae
Exons: 2
Source: RefSeq, a predicted model, not a curated record
GGAUGGAUGGAUUUAUAAGACACUUUACAUUUUAGAAAAAAAUCUCAAAGUUCUACAAUCAAAUACAACAGCAACAAUACAGGUAGAAUGAAAUACACAUUUCAUGUUAAACAGAUAAAAAUAAAACAUUAAUUAAAGGAAAUCAAUAAGAACACUAAGUAAAAAGGAAGGUUUAGGUCUGUUUUGAAGCCAGCCGUCUGUGGAGCCAUAAGAUGAGGGGGCAAGGUAAUCCACAGCCAAAGCAAGGCACAUUAAUUAAAAGGAAACCAGUAAAAAUACUAAAYAGAAAAACACUGUGUAAAAAGCAAGGUUUUUAGGCCAGCUUUGAAACCUGCCACGGUUUGUUGAGCCCUCAGAAGAGGAGGGAGGGUAUCUCACAGGCGAGGAGCAGCACAGGAAAAGGCCCUGUCACCAAUGGUGCGGGUGUGAGUCUUGAGAAUGUGAAGAAUAUUUGUAUUUGAGGAGCGGAGAGUGCGUGAGGAACAGYGAGGAGCGAGGAGAUCUGUAUGUUCAAAUUUGCGCACCCCCGUCAGGAUCCCUGCAGCACUAUUCUGAACAUGUUGUAAUUUUUGUAAGUUCUUCACAGGAGUUCCAAYGAGGAGGGCGUUGCAGUAAUCAAGUCUGGAGGAGACAAUUAAAGACUCAUUCAUGCUCUGUCAGCCCACGACGAGCUGACAUCAAACGCAGAAGAUGUGACCGACAGACCCUCUGGUUCCUCAGAGCCUGGCUGUGUCUGUGCUGGAGGAAGAAACAGGAACUGCUUCACAUGCUAAACUCUUCAGACACACAACACACAUGUAUUGUACAUGACUUGAUACACAACAAACACAAUCUGAGCCUCGCUGGAACUUUAAUUUGGAGAUAAACAGUAUCUCUGGCCCUGAAUGGUGACAGUGAAUUCAKUGGGUGGGUCGAUCUGCAGACACACAAGUGUUUUGUGGUUGUUUUCAUGUCAGUGGUGGCAGCCGCUCCUGGCACUGGGUCAGAAAUGAACACAUGAUGUGAUGACAGCUACUAGGGCCAGUCUGAGCUCCCUCAACAGAUCCAAUGUAUCAGUUAUUUAGUCUGACAGUAAAACAUGCAAAAAAAGUGCAUUCUGAGUUAUUUGUGUGUUUUUUAAGUCUAAUUUCACUUCUUUUUUUAAAUAAUCCUGGUGGAAUUAAACACUCACUUUCACUGAUUUUUGUCUAUUCAGUCUUUUACAUUUUAUUUUUGUAAAUUUCUAAUGAAAUAAAUGAAUAUUGCUUCCUGUAAA